This 1343-nucleotide ribosomal RNA is filed under the name uncultured bacterium. Its description in RNAcentral is "16S ribosomal RNA". It matches the Rfam family "Bacterial small subunit ribosomal RNA", at positions 28 to 1378 of the family's 1533-position model. The record is from RNAcentral.
GACGAACGCUGGCGGCGUGCUUAACACAUGCAAGUCGAACGGAAAGGCCCUGCUUUUGUGGGGUGCUCGAGUGGCGAACGGGUGAGUAACACGUGAGUAACCUGCCCUUGACUUUGGGAUAACUUCAGGAAACUGGGGCUAAUACCGGAUAGGAGCUCCUGCUGCAUGGUGGGGGUUGGAAAGUUUCGGCGGUUGGGGAUGGACUCGCGGCUUAUCAGCUUGUUGGUGGGGUAGUGGCUUACCAAGGCUUUGACGGGUAGCCGGCCUGAGAGGGUGACCGGCCACAUUGGGACUGAGAUACGGCCCAGACUCCUACGGGAGGCAGCAGUGGGGAAUAUUGCACAAUGGGCGGAAGCCUGAUGCAGCAACGCCGCGUGCGGGAUGACGGCCUUCGGGUUGUAAACCGCUUUCGCCUGUGACGAAGCGUGAGUGACGGUAAUGGGUAAAGAAGCACCGGCUAACUACGUGCCAGCAGCCGCGGUGAUACGUAGGGUGCGAGCGUUGUCCGGAUUUAUUGGGCGUAAAGGGCUCGUAGGUGGUUGAUCGCGUCGGAAGUGUAAUCUUGGGGCUUAACCCUGAGCGUGCUUUCGAUACGGGUUGACUUGAGGAAGGUAGGGGAGAAUGGAAUUCCUGGUGGAGCGGUGGAAUGCGCAGAUAUCAGGAGGAACACCAGUGGCGAAGGCGGUUCUCUGGGCCUUUCCUGACGCUGAGGAGCGAAAGCGUGGGGAGCGAACAGGCUUAGAUACCCUGGUAGUCCACGCUGUAAACGGUGGGUACUAGGUGUGGGGUCCAUUCUACGGGUUCCGUGCCGUAGCUAACGCUUUAAGUACCCCGCCUGGGGAGUACGGCCGCAAGGCUAAAACUCAAAGGAAUUGACGGGGCCCCGCACAAGCGGCGGAGCAUGCGGAUUAAUUCGAUGCAACGCGUAGAACCUUACCUGGGUUUGACAUGGAUCGGGAGUGCUCAGAGAUGGGUGUGCCUCUUUUGGGGUCGGUUCACAGGUGGUGCAUGGCUGUCGUCAGCUCGUGUCGUGAGAUGUUGGGUUAAGUCCCGCAACGAGCGCAACCCUUGUUCACUGUUGCCAGCACGUUAUGGUGGGGACUCAGUGGAGACCGCCGGGGUCAACUCGGAGGAAGGUGGGGAUGACGUCAAGUCAUCAUGCCCCUUAUGUCCAGGGCUUCACGCAUGCUACAAUGGCUGGUACAGAGAGUGGCGAGCCUGUGAGGGUGAGCGAAUCUCGGAAAGCCGGUCUCAGUUCGGAUUGGGGUCUGCAACUCGACCUCAUGAAGUCGGAGUCGCUAGUAAUCGCAGAUCAGCAACGCUGCGGUGAAUACGUUCCCGGG